Long non-coding RNA from Hydra vulgaris (swiftwater hydra), 296 nucleotides. RefSeq lists it as uncharacterized. Lineage: Eukaryota; Metazoa; Cnidaria; Hydrozoa; Anthoathecata; Hydridae. The record is from RefSeq and is a predicted model, not a curated record.
UGGUGAUUGGAGAAGUCUUAACCGUAUGCUGUCCACCAGCAUAUACUUCCAAUGACUGUCAAAAAAUAUGUGAAUACACUGCAGGUUGCGUUUAUUUUACAUGGAACACCGUAAAUUUUGCUUGUUAUCUUAAAGGAGAAACUGGCUGGACAAAAAUUAUCUCUGAAGACACGGAAGGAGGUCGAAUUGGUGGAUCCAUUGAAAAAGGCAUUGAUUACUCUGGCGCAGAUUUACCUAAUUGCUAACUAACCGUGUAAACUUUUGUUUAAAAAUAAAUAUGUAUUUAAAGCGGUUAA